AACGAACGCUGGCGGCAGGCUUAACACAUGCAAGUCGAACGCCCCGCAAGGGGAGUGGCAGACGGGUGAGUAACGCGUGGGAAUCUACCGUGCCCUACGGAACAACAGUUGGAAACGACUGCUAAUACCGUAUACGCCCUACGGGGGAAAGAUUUAUCGGGGUAUGAUGAGCCCGCGUUGGAUUAGCUAGUUGGUGGGGUAAAGGCCUACCAAGGCGACGAUCCGUAGCUGGUCUGAGAGGAUGAUCAGCCACAUUGGGACUGAGACACGGCCCAAACUCCUACGGGAGGCAGCAGUGGGGAAUAUUGGACAAUGGGCGCAAGCCUGAUCCAGCCAUGCCGCGUGAGUGAUGAAGGUCUUAGGAUUGUAAAGCUCUUUCACCGACGAAGAUAAUGACGGUAGUCGGAGAAGAAGCCCCGGCUAACUUCGUGCCAGCAGCCGCCGUAA
RNAcentral lists this ribosomal RNA (447 nucleotides) under uncultured bacterium. RNAcentral's name for it is "partial 16S ribosomal RNA". It matches the Rfam family "Bacterial small subunit ribosomal RNA", at positions 29 to 523 of the family's 1533-position model. The record is from RNAcentral.